This 6332-nucleotide small RNA is filed under the name Pongo abelii (Sumatran orangutan). RNAcentral describes it as "retained intron". The record is from RNAcentral. Lineage: Eukaryota; Metazoa; Chordata; Mammalia; Primates; Hominidae.
UAGGCAUGCAAAAAAACUUUAACCAUAAAGUGCUAUCUACGUGUUCAUUAUUAUUAGUUGCUAGCAUUGUCAAACUCAUUGUGUAGAAUGUAUGCUGCUUAUUUAAUAUUUGAAUCAUCAGAUUUAAAAGUUUUACUUUGUAAAAUUGUUUUCCUUUCAUAUGUUAUUGAGGUAUAUUGUAUUAUUAUAUUUAUUUGGUGUUAACUAGCUUUCCUUUCCUGAAGUAGUCCCUAUUUUGCCAUAAUUUAUUUUGGUUUUUUUAGACAGGUAUUUUAAAUAACAGCAUUUAAGAUUAUAUAUUUAUCUCUUAGUUUAGCUUUAGUUAUGUCUCACAAAUUUUAAUACACAAUAUUUUGUCAAAUGUUAUUGAAAUUAUAUUGUGAUUUACCAUAAAAUCCAUAUGUUGCUUAGUAGAAGAAAUGUUUUUUUUUAAUUUUACAGAUCACCACUCAUUGUUUUUCCAACCUUUUAAAAAAAUUCGCUACUCAUUUAUUGAAGAAACUAGGUCAUUUGUCUUAUAGCUUCCCAUGUUCAGAUUUUUACUGUUUGCCUCCUGUGGUGUCACUUAAUGUUUAACUUAUUGCCAACGUCAUUGAAAUUUUAUUUCAAUGUAAAUUUCCCCUCUAUUUCCUGUAAAUUGAUGGUUAAAUCUAGAGGCUUGAUCAGAUUUUGGCGAGAGAUUUUUUGGCAAGAAUACUUUACAAGUGUUGCUGUGUACUUCCAUCAGCAAACAUGUAACAACGAGUUAUUUUUUUCUGAUGUUAGCCAUCAAUAAUCUUUGUCUACACCUUAGUUAAUUAAGAGUUGAAAACUGGUGAAAGUCUGUUGCAAUCAAUAUUACUAAAAAAGCAAGCUUCCCCGUGUCAGCUAUAUGACUGCUACGUAGGUCGAAUUCAAUCAGAAAAAAGUAGAAUAGGCUGGAUGCAGUGGCUCACGCCUGUAAUCCCAGCACUUUGGGAGGCCGAGGCGGGUGGAUCACCUGAGGCCAGGAGUUCGAGACCAGCCUGGCCAACAUGGCAAAACCCUGUCUCUACUAAAAAUACAAACAUUAGCCAGGCAUGGGGGCGCAUGCCUGUAGUCCCAGCUACUUGGGAGGCUGAGCAGGAGAAUCGCUUGAACCCAGGACUCAGAGGUUGCAGUGAGCCAAGAUUACGCCACUGCACUCCAGCCUGGGCGACAGAGCGAGAUUCAAAAAAAGGCUCUGUCUCAAUAAAUAAAUAAAUAAAUAAGAGAAGAAAAAGGUAUAAUAAAAGUUGGAUGAUUUCCUUUUAUCAGUUUUUAAAAUAAUGGACUGGUUCUCUAGCGUAACACAAAGGUGAACAAAGAGGCUUUUUUUUUAGUAUCUUUAUGAAUGUAUGAAAUUAAACACAUGUGACGUGUUUCAGUUUAUUGAGUUACUUUUAUGAUGUCCAAAUUAUCCUUAUUUUUACCAGUAGAAACCGUCUCAAGUUGGUUCCUGAGUCCUUUUAACACAACCUGGUAGACUUUGAUAGCAUUCUUUCUAGUAUGGCUAGAUGUCCCAAGCUUAUCUUGUACAUUCUUUGAUACCAACAGAGAAUCAACCAUUCUCAAGUAAUCAUGGUUUCUUUUAAUGGGAAAUGGAAUUUAUAGCCAAUUUGGGCCAGGGAGGCUCAGCACUACUGGCUGUGUCACUGUUUGUAGGCCCUUCAGUUGAUAUUAGGAGAUGCUUUUUGGAAAAUUUUAUAUAAAUAUUAUGUAUACAACCUUGAGGUUUGACAUUUGCCAUUCUGACUAAAGUAGGGCUUCCUAAUUUUCAGCACUAUUAACAUUUGAGACAAGAUAAUUCUGUCAUUAGGGACUGUCUUUUGCAAUGUACUAUGUUUGGAAUCCUCACUGGCCUCUACCCAGUAAAUGCAGACAGCACAGUCUCCUAACCCCAUUGCCAAUGGUGGCAAUCAAAUUGUCCCUAGCCUUUGUCAGAUGUCCUCUGGGUGACAAAAUUGGUCCCAGUUGAGACCCACCCUAUUAAAGAAAUAACUUUUAUGAAACAUUUAACAAAGUACUGAGCAAUUAUAAUGACUCACAUUUUGUAGAAUAAGAUAUUUCAUAGUUGUUUAGCUGUGAGACAAAAGUAUAAUCAAAAUAAAGGAACAAACUAUGUGGUAGCAAUUUCAUGUCUUGUUUAAUUUGAAGUGUCCUUUCUAUUUUGCUUCUAUACUUCAAAAGCAGAACACAGACUCUGAGUCAAAAAAAUUGAGUUUGUGUCGUAGCUCUGUCAUUUCCUGAGUGUUGGCCUUGUUUUUUAAGCUUCAGUUUCCUCUGCUGUGAAAUAGGAACAAUAUUUGCUUGUUGCUUUGAGAACUUAAUAAGAUUUAAGGUGCUUAGCAGAGUGCCUUGUUUGUAGACUAUAAUUAGUAGCUUUUAGCAUUAGAUAAGUUUGCAAAGGGAAAGUAAGAGAAAGAAAUCUUGGAAGUGAACAGUCAACCUCACGUACAAAAGUAAGAUGCUUUUCUUCUAUUUUAGAGUCCUGCCAAAUAUCACAAAACCUAGAUAUUAUGAAGGACAAAGAAAAUAAAGGGUUUUUCAGUUUUUUUCAACGCAGUAAGAAAAAGCGGGACCAAACUGCAAGUGCCCCUGCAACCCCUCUAGUAAAUAAGCACCGCCCAACUUUUACAAGGUCCAAUACCAUUUCCAAACCAUAUAUUUCCAACACCCUGCCGUCGGAUGCACCCAAGAAGAGGCGGGCUCCACUGCCCCCGAUGCCAGCAUCUCAGAGUGUCCCCCAAGACCUUGCACACAUCCAGGAGAGGCCUGCUUCUUGUAUAGUGAAAUCCAUGAGCGUGGAUGAGACAGAUAAGAGUCCCUGUGAAGCAGGAAGAAUGAGGGCAGGUUCACUGCAGCUCAGCAGCACGUCUGCAGGGAAUUCAUCUUUGAGAAGGACAAAGCGAAAAGCACCUUCCCCACCCUCCAAAAUACCCCCGCAUCAAAGUGAUGAAAAUAGUCGUGUGACUGCCUUACAGCCAGUAGAUGGAGUUCUUCCAGACAGUGCUUCAGAAGCAAACUCUCCAGAGGAGCUAUCCAGCCCAGCUGGAAUAAGCUCUGAUUAUAGCCUUGAAGAGAUAGAUGAAAAGGAAGAACUGAGUGAAGUGCCUAAAGUUGAAGCUGAAAAUAUUUCUCCGAAGUCACAAGAUAUUCCUUUUGUAUCUACUGAUAUAAUAAAUACACUGAAAAAUGAUCCUGACUCAGCCCUUGGCAAUGGUAGUGGAGAGUUCUCACAAAACUCCAUGGAAGAAAAACAAGAAACUAAAAGCACAGAUGGACAAGAACCACAAAGUGUAGUAUAUGAUACAAGCGAUGAAAAGAAGGUAGUUGACAGUAUAAGAAACUUGAAGUCGUUGGGCCCAAACCAAGAGAAUGUAGUUCAAAAUGAAAUAAUUGUCUUUCCAGAGAACACAGAAGACAAUAUGAAAAAUGGAAUGAAGAAAACAGAAAUCAGUGUAGGAGGUGUUGCCAAAAAUAACAACAUUGAUAUAGAAGUUGAGAGACCAUCAAACUCUCAGGCACAUGAAACUGAUACUGCUAUAAGUUACAAGGAAAACAAUCUAGCAGCUUCAUCAGUACCAGAUCAAAAACUGAAUCAACCCAGUGCAGAAAAGACAAAAAUGCAAGAUGCAGCAAUUCAGACAACCCCUUCUUGUAACAGUUUUGAUGGGAAACACCAAGAUCAUAAUUUGUCUGACUCCAAAGUUGAAGAAAGUGUGCAAACUUCAAAUAACAACAUAUCAACUCAACACUCAUCCUUAAGUUCACAAGAUUCUGUAGAUACCUCAGAGGAAUUCAGGAGUCAAGGCACCCUAAUUAUACAUUCAGAAGAUCCACUUACCGUAAAAGAUCCAAUUUGUGCACAUGAUAAUGAUGAUCUUUUGCCUCCUAUAGAUAGGAUUGACAAAAAUUCAGCUGCUUCUUACCUAAAGAAUUACCCACUUUAUAGACAGGACUACAAUCCCAAGCCAAAACCUUCAAAUGAAAUUACACGAGAGUAUAUACCCAAAAUUGGCAUGACUACUUAUAAAAUAGUGCCUCCCAAAUCCUUGGAAAUAUCGAAAGACUGGCAAUCAGAAACCAUAGAGUAUAAAGAUGAUCAGGACAUGCAUGCUUUAGGGAAAAAGCACACUCAUGAGAAUGUGAAAGAAACUGCCAUCCAAACAGAAGAUUCUGCUAUUUCUGAAAGCCCAAAAGGGCCACUGCCAAACCUUAAACCGAAGCCUAACCUGAGAACAGAGCAUCAAGUGCACAGUUCUGUGAGCUCACCUGAUGGUGCCAUGGUUAGUCCUCUGAAACCUAGUCCCAAAAUGACAAGAGACACUGGCACAGCUCCUUUUGCACCAAAUUUGGAAGACAUAAACAAUAUUUUGGAAUCAAAAUUUAAAUCUCGGGCUUCAAAUCCCCAGGCCAAACCCAGCUCUUUUUUUUUGCAGAUGCAGAAGAGAGUAUCGGGUCACUAUGUGACAUCUGCAGCUGCCAAGAGUGUCCAUGCUGCCCCUAUUCCUGCUCCAAAAGAACUGACAAAUAAAGAGGCAGAAAGGGAUAUGCUGCCUUCUCUGGAGCAGACUCUUUCUCCCUUAAGUAAAACGCCUCACUCUGUUCCACAACCCCUUGUUGAAAAAACUGAUGAUGAUGUCAUCGGUCAGGCUCCUGCUGAAGCCUCCCCUCCUCCCAUAGCUCCGAAACCUGCGACAAUUCCUGCUAGUCAGGUAUCCACACAAAAUCUGAAGACUUUGAAAACUUUUGGAGCCCCACGACCAUACUCAAAUUCUGGUCCUUCACCGUUUGCUCUUGCUGUAGUGAAGAGGUCACAGUCUUUCAGUAAAGAGCGCACCGAGUCACCUAGUGCCAGUGCAUCCGUCCAACCUCCAGCCAACACAGAAGAAGGGAAGACUCAUUCUGUAAAUAAAUUUGUAGACAUCCCACAACUUGGUGUGUCUGAUAAGGAAAAUAACUCUGCACAUAAUGAACAGAAUUCCCAAAUACCAACUCCAACUGAUUGCCCAUCAUUCACUGUUAUGAGACAAAGUUCUUUAACAUUCCAAAGCUCUGACCCAGAACAGAUGCGACAGAGUUUGCUGACUGCAAUCCGUUCAGGAGAGGCUGCUGCCAAAUUGAAAAGGGUUACCAUUCCAUCAAAUACAAUAUCUGUGAAUGGAAGGUCAAGACUCAGCCAUUCCAUGUCCCCUGAUGCCCGGGACGGCCGUUAAAUGUUACCCUGCCACACCACUGCACUUCACUUCCACUUCAGACCAACUUCAUACUAAUGGAACAUUUUGGCAAAUGUAUAUUCAGAUGUACACUAAUAUAUUAUCUUUUAAAAUAUUAGAAUUUGUGCUGUGGCUUUUAAUGCCAGAAGAAAAGUUACCAGAAUUUAUAAUUUAUAGUAAUUUUUUGAUCUUUUUUUUGCCUUAAGAGUUGAAUAUGCUGCUUUAGAACUUUAAAACAAGGUGUAAAUGAUUUUCACUUUUUACAAAUGAAAAAUAAUCCCUUUGUAUUGAUUUCAUUUACCAGCACAUUCUCUACAAUGGUGACUUAGACAAAAGUGUAAGAUUCGUAGACUUAUAUUUGUAUGACAUACAACUAGGACAAACAUAGAUAUGACAUUUGCUGCCUCAGUGUUGCAAUUGGAAAUGUUUAUAAGUUAUAUGAAAGCCUGCUUUGGGCUGAAAGAAUGAUUUAGAAAACUAGUGAUACCAAAUAAGUAUAUUCAGUUCAAUAAUUAUUUUCAAUGAUGAAUCACUUAGUGUGAAAGACUUGCCUUGUGUAUUCUUUAUGUAAUUACAAAUCACUGUCAAUUUUAUGGGAAGCUCAUAGUAUUUUAAUAUUUUAUUAACAUGGAACUCUUGUUUUUUUAAUCUUUAGAACUUAAAUUCUACAAGAAUUUUAAAUAUUUUCUGUAUAUAAUUAUGACAUUGUCACACAGAAAUUACACAUUUUAUGUGCCAGAAGCCUUAAAAAUCUGUGAAAAUGCUGAUAUAUUGUGACAGUUAUUUCACAUUUGAUAUGUAGAGAGGAAUAGGGGUUAGUUUAUGUUUAUAUUGAAAAACUUUAAAGACUAUUUGGAAGUUCCAGAAAUUCUGGUUUUAAUUCAAGUAAAAUGAUAAAAUAGUCAUUAUAUAGUUCAGAUGCUAAUAUUCUAAGUAAUAAUAUAUAUUUACAUUGAAGCUAAAACUGUUAAGCAAAACAAUGCCAAUUUGUCAGCUUACAGCUCUUCUGGAGUCUAGAGCCUGUUGGUGUUCUGUCCCUACUUUAAGAAUUUAAUUGCUCACUUAUUCUGAAAGCUUUGUUCAAACAAGAUGAUAUUAAAUUUGUUUUUACUAAAA